GAAGGCGGGCGCGGCGGCGGCGGAGGAGGAAGGCGUCCUCGAGGGAGGAGCGUCCGCGCUACCACAUGUAGUUCUUGGUCUUCUGUUCCCGCAUGAGGUUCGCAAAGGUUCAGUUCAAGUUCUCUUCCGCGGUCCCCUUCUGGCUGAUGUCCCGGUCCGACUCCGAGUGUUUGGUCCUGUUCUUGUUUAUGUUAUGGGGGUUCAUGGCAAAACAACACGCUAAAUGGUUGUUCCUACAGUGACGUGUUUAACACAUACGAUGGUAACGACCACUAUAACACUACCGGCGACGGAUGAGGGUACUCAACGGAGCGAUACCAGAACUUCAACCGGAGUGGUUGAUACGACGUCGGAUGACGUGACCAGACGAAAACCGAGCAGCACACGAGUUCUUGGCACUAGAACUACUCCUCAUACUUCCGUUACAACUCCGGUGACCACUCCUGAAGAGACAACUCGGAAGACUACUCUCCUCCGGAAAGGCACGCGAAAACCUACAACCAGAAUAAUCCUGGUGGUGACCUUUGGCACACAAACCACGGGAAUUCCCUCGAAACCUACCACCGGAACUGUAAGGGGUGUCACUGUUCUCUAAACGACCCAAGUUUUUCCUGCUCUUCAGCGACCUACGACUCUAAGUGGCGUUCAUGUAGAAACCUCCCGUACAACGACUGAUGUACUCCAGUGAUCGUCUACUCCUUGGUCUCUUCAAGGUUUGAGUAAAGUCACUCAUGUAGUUCUCCCCUUAGAGUCGACUACUGUACCUUCGUCAAAUGUUCUUCCAAGUACGACGGUAGGCACGACUAGGGUGGUACCGGUUUAGUUGGUUCCGCGGAGGGUUCUGAGUGUUCUCCAUGUUGGGGUUCUUCGACUGGAUACUCGUCUCCUUCCGGUCGGAGCAGCUUUCCGAGUUGCGGGAGUUGUUGAGACGGCCACGGCGGCUACUGCUGCUCCUGCUGCUGCUCACUUCUCGCGAGAACAGGUGGGGUCACAUCAGAACGUUGCACGCAAAAACAAUUUCAGGCCGUGAGACGUGUUACUGGACAAGGAAACUCAAAACAAACAGAACGACCUCAAUAUCUAACACAAUAGAGCUAAUACACGGCACGACCGUAAACCUAGAAUUAGAAUUAGGCAAGCAGACCGUGGGAAGCAUUACAAAAAAAACGCCGACAAAGUACGAACAACCGGAAUCCAACUGUACUGGAAGCAACCAUCCAGUAAAGUCGAAUAAGGAUUGGUUAUGAGGCAUAUACUAAAAUGACACCGA
RNAcentral lists this ribosomal RNA (1270 nucleotides) under Triticum aestivum (bread wheat). RNAcentral describes it as "partial small subunit ribosomal RNA". The record is from RNAcentral. Lineage: Eukaryota; Viridiplantae; Streptophyta; Magnoliopsida; Poales; Poaceae.